AAAUAUCCUGGGGCCCAUUUUAAAAAUCAAGCUUAAAACAAAACUUCAGCAAGAUGAUGACAGAGGGUAUAUGAAGAGAUGAAAUGAAAGGCAAGUGGAGAAGGUACAGAAGCUUGGUAGGAUGGAGAGUCUGGCAUCAAAGAUGUUCCCAUCAAGAGAGAAACAUUUAAAAGAACAAACCACAACAUAGGAGCAAUGUAAAAAAGCAAGAUACGAAGGGAAGCUGUGUAGUUGUCUGCAAGUGAAGGUGGUUGUUCUGAAAUACCAGUGAGAGUGUCAGUAGCACUGUCAGUAUGUCCUCUAGGAACCAGAAGCCAAUGGACCUGAAUGUGGAUCUGAACAGCUGCAUAUCAGGCAUGCAAAAGCUUUUCCUGCUUCAUCUGGCAAUAGUGUUUUGCAGCAGGGAACUAGGAGUGAGAGAAGGAUGCAGAUCAGUCCCUUGUCUCUCCCAUGCCUCAGACUCCUUGGAAAUACAGAGAACUCUUAUUUCUGUCUUUACUGUCAUGCUCACUUGUCCUUUUAACCACAGAAGUCUGGAGAAGAAAAACUGAAGUUUUGGUUUCUUAAAACAAAAACUUCAAGAUUUAUUCUGUGAUUUCUCUUUAUAUGUAGAGAUCUUAUCUGCACUCUUAAUGUUGCAGACUUCCACUAUCAUAUAUCUGUAAUUGGUUUCAAUAUAAUUUAGUUGUCGCGAAUGUUGCUAUGCCUGAUUUCUCCUCCGAUUAAUGAUAGUGCAAACCUGUUAUUUUUAUCUUGAAAUGCAUACAUAGAAUGGAGGCUGGGUGACACCCUCCCUUCAUGUGUAAUGCUGUUUAAUUUACUCAGUUGAAAUGCAUUUUUGAGAAAGCAGGUGUUAUUAUAUUCUUCUUUAUUUCUUUCUGACUUGUCAGUGAUGACAGAUGGGAAAUAUCUUCCUAGUAGAUUUCUAAAUCUUGUGCUCUAAGAGAUAAAUAUAUUGAAAUGGUGAUUUCUGUCAAAAUUACUUUAAUCUUAUAGGGCAGGACAAUACUCUUUGGCUUUCAUUCCUACCUCCCCUUUUACUCCAUAAUUUGUGUUUUAUCUUGUGGUCUGAAUAUAAAAGUAAUGGACAUUUCUGAAAUGAUCGGUAAAAUCCGAAAUGAUUCCUGAAUUGUAGUGGUUGUUGCUUGCACAAUAUCAAUAUCUGAGUUCUUCCUUUUCCUGAAUGAUCUUGCUGUUACUGUGAAUUUAAAAUAAUCUUGUUUAUUUUGCUUGUGUUUCAUUUACUUUUUUUCUUUCUGCAAGGUUCUGCAGUUGUGAUUAAAUGCUUGCUUUUUUUUUUUUUUUUUGUGGUAGCAGGCAGCCAGUGAAAGCUAGUAAGUGUCAGGCAUAUAUGCCCUUAGUGCUGUCAUCCUCAUCAUCCCACCAGCUUCCUUUCCACCACCUUACCUUAUUUAUUUAUUUACUUACUUAUUCUGUGACACUUGUACUCAGCUUUAUUUCUGUUUAAACAACUGGUUAUUUGCUUGCUCCUUGGUCGUUGUUAUAUAUUAUAACUACUUCUGAGGUCAUUAGUAUUGUAGUUCAUUCAUU
Molecule: long non-coding RNA, 1551 nt
Filed under: Anas platyrhynchos platyrhynchos (common mallard)
Lineage: Eukaryota; Metazoa; Chordata; Aves; Anseriformes; Anatidae
Description: lncRNA (ENSAPLG00000019710.1)
Source: RNAcentral